RNAcentral lists this ribosomal RNA (482 nucleotides) under uncultured bacterium. RNAcentral's name for it is "partial 16S ribosomal RNA". It matches the Rfam family "Bacterial small subunit ribosomal RNA", at positions 30 to 507 of the family's 1533-position model. The record is from RNAcentral.
AUUGAACGCUGGCGGCAUGCCUUACACAUGCAAGUCGAACGGUAACAGGUCUUCGGAUGCUGACGAGUGGCGAACGGGUGAGUAAUACAUCGGAACGUGCCUAGUAGUGGGGGAUAACUACUCGAAAGAGUGGCUAAUACCGCAUGAGAUCUACGGAUGAAAGCAGGGGAUCGCAAGACCUUGUGCUACUAGAGCGGCCGAUGGCAGAUUAGGUAGUUGGUGGGAUAAAAGCUUACCAAGCCGACGAUCUGUAGCUGGUCUGAGAGGACGAUCAGCCACACUGGGACUGAGAAACGGCCCAGACUCCUACGGGAGGCAGCAGUGGGGAAUUUUGGACAAUGGGCGCAAGCCUGAUCCAGCAAUGCCGCGUGCAGGAUGAAGGCCUUCGGGUUGUAAACUGCUUUUGUACGGAACGAAAAGCCCUGGGUUAAUACCCUGGGGUCAUGACGGUACCGUAAGAAUAAGCACCGGCUAACUACGUG